This 522-nucleotide ribosomal RNA is filed under the name uncultured Methyloversatilis sp. Its description in RNAcentral is "bacterial SSU rRNA". It matches the Rfam family "Bacterial small subunit ribosomal RNA", at positions 8 to 526 of the family's 1533-position model. The record is from RNAcentral. Lineage: Bacteria; Pseudomonadati; Pseudomonadota; Betaproteobacteria; Nitrosomonadales; Sterolibacteriaceae.
AGAGUUUGAUCCUGGCUCAGGAUGAACGCUAGCGGGAGGCUUAACACAUGCAAGUCGAGCGGGAUUUACCUUCGGGUAAUGAGAGCGGCGCACGGGUGCGUAACGCGUAUGCAACCUGCCUUGUACAGGGGGAUAGCCCAUGGAAACGUGGAUUAAUACCUCAUAGAAUUGUUUAAUCGCAUGGUUUAACAAUUAAAGCUUUGGUGGUACAAGAUGGGCAUGCGUAGGAUUAGCUAGUAGGUGAGGUAACGGCUCACCUAGGCAACGAUGGCUAGGGGUUCUGAGAGGGAGAUCCCCCACACUGGGACUGAGACACGGCCCAGACUCCUACGGGAGGCAGCAGUGGGGAAUUUUGGACAAUGGGCGAAAGCCUGAUCCAGCCAUUCCGCGUGAGUGAAGAAGGCCUUCGGGUUGUAAAGCUCUUUCGGCAGGAACGAAACGGCGGAUAUUAAUACUAUCCGUUACUGACGGUACCUGAAGAAGAAGCACCGGCUAACUACGUGCCAGCAGCCGCGGUAAUAC